RNAcentral lists this ribosomal RNA (403 nucleotides) under uncultured bacterium. Its description in RNAcentral is "partial 16S ribosomal RNA". It matches the Rfam family "Bacterial small subunit ribosomal RNA", at positions 28 to 526 of the family's 1533-position model. The record is from RNAcentral.
GACGAACGCUGGCGGCGUGCCUAAUACAUGCAAGUCGAACGCAGUGGGGACGGGUGAGUAACACGUGGGUAACCUCCCAUCAGAGGGGAUAACACUUGGAAACAGGUGCUAAACCGAUACUGAUGGAUGAACCCGCGGUGCAUUAGCUAGUUGGUGAGGUAACGGCUCACAAAGGCCACGAUGUAUAGCGGAGCUGAUAGGGUGUUCGGCCACACGGUGACUGAGCCAGGGCCCAUACUCCUACGGGAGGCAGCAUCAGGGAAGCUUCGGCAAUGGACGAAAGUCUGACCGAGCAACGCCGCGUGAGUGAAUAAGGUUUUCGGAUCGUAAAACUCUGUUGUUAGAGAAGCGGUAUCUAACCAGAAAGCCACGGCUAACGACGUGCCAGCAGCCGCGGUAAUAC